Caenorhabditis elegans is the source of this 21-nucleotide non-coding RNA. The record is from Ensembl. Lineage: Eukaryota; Metazoa; Nematoda; Chromadorea; Rhabditida; Rhabditidae.
UAUAUCGUUAAUCUGGCAAUC